UACAGAGGGUGCGAGCGUUGUCCGGAAUCACUGGGCGUAAAGGGCGCGUAGGUGGCGACCCAAGUCGAUGGUGAAAGCUCGCCGCUCAACGGCGAGUCGGCCACCGAUACUGGCGUGCUCGAGCACUGUAGGGGCGGGUGGAAUUCCGGGUGUAGCGGUGGAAUGCGUAGAGAUCCGGAAGAACACCGGUGGCGAAGGCGGCCCGCUGGGCAGGAAGGCUCGCAAGAGCCGGCUGACGCUGAGGCGCGACAGCGUGGGGAGCAAACAGG
This 269-nucleotide ribosomal RNA is filed under the name uncultured bacterium. Its description in RNAcentral is "partial 16S ribosomal RNA". It matches the Rfam family "Bacterial small subunit ribosomal RNA", at positions 524 to 776 of the family's 1533-position model. The record is from RNAcentral.